AACGAACGCUGGCGGCAGGCUUAACACAUGCAAGUCGAACGAUCCUUCGGGAUAGUGGCAGACGGGUGAGUAACGCGUGGGAACCUACCUAGUAGUAUGGAAUAACACAGAGAAAUUUGUGCUAAUACCGUAUACGCCCUUUGGGGGAAAGAUUUAUCGCUAUUAGAUGGGCCCGCGUUAGAUUAGCUAGUUGGUGAGGUAAUGGCUCACCAAGGCGACGAUCUAUAGCUGGUCUGAGAGGAUGAUCAGCCACACUGGGACUGAGACACGGCCCAGACUCCUACGGGAGGCAGCAGUGGGGGAAUAUUGGACAAUGGGGGGGCAACCCUGAUCCAGCCAUGCCGCGUGUGUGAUGAAGGCCCUAGGGUUGUAAAGCACUUUCAACGGUGAAGAUAAUGACGGUAACCGUAGAAGAAGCCCCGGCUAACUUCGU
This 433-nucleotide ribosomal RNA is filed under the name uncultured bacterium. RNAcentral describes it as "bacterial SSU rRNA". It matches the Rfam family "Bacterial small subunit ribosomal RNA", at positions 29 to 506 of the family's 1533-position model. The record is from RNAcentral.